AACAACAAAAACAUAUAAUAAAUGAUGGAUGUGUGU
Molecule: non-coding RNA, 36 nt
Filed under: Trypanosoma brucei brucei
Lineage: Eukaryota; Euglenozoa; Kinetoplastea; Trypanosomatida; Trypanosomatidae
Source: RNAcentral